This is a long non-coding RNA of Strigops habroptila (Kakapo), 564 nucleotides long. RefSeq lists it as uncharacterized. The transcript is spliced from 3 exons. The record is from RefSeq and is a predicted model, not a curated record. Lineage: Eukaryota; Metazoa; Chordata; Aves; Psittaciformes; Psittacidae.
GUGAGCUGCUUUCUGGCUGUGGUGUCAGCCUAUAGAGUCCUUACGUAGAGCGUGGAAGCAUCUGGAGAAAUCGCAUUUUCAUAAUGUAGCAGCAAUAAGUCAUCAUUUGUUCCGCUUAGAUCUGCUCUGCAAAUCUGAUAGGAAGAUUUCUCCCCAGGGAUCUCAUCUUGCUUCCUUUACUUGUUCACUGAAGACCAUGAGAACCACACAAAUGGGGUGCUCUUUGGGAAGCAGACACAGCAGACAGGGAGAGAUGAGUUGGUAAACUAAUACCAGCUUUGGAAGACUUCUGUAAAGAGACCACGUUGCACCGCCAACAUCAUUACGCUUGGGUCUUACCUAAAUGAAGCUUCUCAGUGUAUUUCAUAAAAGACUGAUGGACAAGAUAAUUUGACUGACACCAACCUAGUUUUUCCUGACAUCCCCUGCACACGCAAGAUCUGACAGCUGCCUUCCAACCAUCUCUAUGUCUCUGAAGUUCCAGUAAGUGCUGCUUCUGAGCCCAUCUAUUCUGUGUGUUGCACCAGUGGUGGCCAAAACCCAUGGAGCCAGCAUGCCUUGCCU